This is a non-coding RNA of Bactrocera oleae (olive fruit fly), 6029 nucleotides long. NCBI's taxonomy places the organism in Eukaryota, Metazoa, Arthropoda, Insecta, Diptera, Tephritidae. The record is from RefSeq and is a predicted model, not a curated record.
AUUUGUGUGCUUUUUGAUGUUGUUUACGCUAGCUGGCCCUCGGAAAAUAUCAGUAGCAGCAGCACGAAGCAUUUGCGGGGAAGCACUUGUUUCAGUUGAUAGAGUUUGAACAUUGCAUUUGUUGUUUGGCAUUUAAGCGCAUAUUUCGGAUAGUAGGCGAUAAACGACUUGGCAGCGAUAUUAAACAGCUUACAUAAUAUGCAAUGAAUGGAAGUUAGUGAAGUUUGAUGCGCUGUUAAGCACUGACAAUUUUAAAUAUUUUGUACUCAAGCAUUGUUGUUUUUGAUACAAAAAAAUUUUUAAAACAAGAGAAAUCGUUAACUUCGGUUACACCGAUGCUAUUUUCACAGACACAAAUGAUUCCGUAUAUGAACUUGAUUUUGAUCGUUCAAUUUGUAUGGCAGCUAUAUGCUAUAGUGGUCCGAUCUAAACAAUUUCUUUGGAAAUUGUACCUUUGCCUUGGAUAAGGUUUUAUCAGCGAAAUUUCAGAUCGAUAUCUCAAUAACUGAGGGGCUAGUUCACAUAAAAGGUUUUUUUUUUUAAACCCCACCAAAAGUGAAAGGUAUUAUAGCUGCGGUGCAGCUGCAGUUAACAUUUUUUCUUGUUUUUUGUUUAAAUUUAUAUACUUACUUUAAAGAAUGUAACAGUGAGUAGUUUAAAGAAACUCCCAAUCUCUCUAUCUACUUAAUGUUGUAAUUCAACAAUUUUUUUUAGUAUUGCCCUAAUAUCGAUCAUACAAAAGCACUGAAGAUAUGGUAUAUCACUUCAUCGUCGAUUAUAGGGAGACAUAUGUGAGGUAUCAGCUAGACUGUAGCAGGUGUAGUUGGGGUACCUACUUUCUAAGCACUUCGUUUUCGUAAGAGCGAUCUAGCUGAAGAGAAGAAUAACUAUUACCAUGCGGACGUGGCCAUUAAUUUCUAGAUAUUAUGAUAAGUAUGAUUUGCGAACGUCGGUAGAUCCUUAUUUUAAUUUUUUAUAUAUCUAAGUUUAUUCCAGUUUUAUCUUUUACAGUAGUUAAUAGAGAAAGUAUUUUAACGUAUAGAAGCUAAGCAAUAAUUUGUAAUCAGCUCUGUAUUUUCCAUCACCAUAUAUAUUUUCAUUUUAAAAACAAGCUCAAAAAUUAAUCAUAUUUAUUAUAAGUUAUAGGUAUAAGCGCACCGAAUACAGUGAAAUUCAAGGUCAAAUGGCAACAAAAUUAAAACACAGAAUUUCAAAUCUUCCAGGCUUUUCUCAGUAUUGAGUAAUCAGUAUCCAGGCUAAAAAUUCAAAAUGAGUAUUCUGUAUAAAAUUGUUUUUCUACCUGUUUUCGCCAUUUAAAACUUAUCACCCGAGCGUAGUCACCGUCCUGCUUUUCUACCUGCGCAGAAUCCUUAAAGUUUGAGCAAAAUUUUGAUAUUGUAAUCAAAACUUAUUUCAACGUUAAUAGAAACGGAACAACUCUUCCCAGUUUCGAAACGAAAAUUAGUAAAUUCAUAGUCAUGGACUUAGGCAACUCAUCGCCAACUAUGUAUGAAAUUUACAAGGAUUUCAACAUUUUGCGGUCCAUAGAAGAUCCUGUACAAAUGAGAGAAAUGGGUUAUGAUUUCCUAGUAAAACUCAAUUCCUGUCAAGUGAAGCAUCCUAUCCUAGCCGAUAUAAAAUUGUGUGUAAACAGAUUGAUUGAAAUGACAUUUUUGGACGAGGGAGCUCGCGAAACGUUUUUAUUUUUAAUAAUUAGGGAAUUCGUUCGAAGUCGGCGUUGCAAAGGCUGUGGAUCCUAUAUGCAUGGGUAAACAUAUAAUAUUAAAUUUUAAAAGCACAAAUUGUUAAUUUCAGCAAUUCAAUAUGAUAAUUAUAAAAGUUAAAAGAGUAUAUUUCACGGAUUAUUCAAAAACAGAGAAAAAUGCAAAUAAAAUAUGUUUAACGAAAAUAAUUAUGUAAUGGCUUAAAUUACUUUAUACAUUCAUCGUUUGUUGUAAACCUAUUUUUUAUUUAGAAAUGAGUAAUAAUGGUGGUCAUCACAUUUUGUCAGUGAAACAGUCUUUGCUGAAUUUAAACGGCUUAGAUUUGAAACAAAUUUUUCUGCCGACUUUAACUUCAUCUCUCUUCUAAUGAGAGAGAUAGUUUGACGUGAAGCUCUUAAAACUCUCUCUCUCUUUAAAAACUUGAACGAUGUUUAAUUUAAAUUUCAAUUGGAUCAGAUAUAGAAAUGAGGUUAGAAACUAUGUCCGAAAUCCGAAAAGGUAUUUGUUGUUCCCAGAAUAUAGCGUUUUCUUUUCUCAAAAAUCUUUUUGCAUUUUGCCUGGGUUGUCAAAGCUGCGUGUCCUUUUGACCUGAAAAAAAUACAAAAUUUUCGGCUCGUCUCAAAACGUAAGGGGAAGAGUUGCCCAGGCGAUGAUAUUUUUCGCUUUUAAUAGUUAUUUUCUUUAAAUAAAGUUUUUUGUUUACUAAUUUUAAUGAAUGGAUCAGAGUUUUGUUAAGUUCAAUAAUAAAUACUGCAAAUGAUUUGGUUGUCAUUUUUUGUUCUUUUGUCAUCCAAAAAUAUAACAUUUAUAUAACAUUUACAUCGAGAACAGAAAACGUUAUAAGAUACCUCUUGGUAACUGCUUAAACAGCCAGGCGAUUCACUUCCCAUUUCAUUAGUAAUAGAAAAACAAGUAAGGACCGUCUAAGUAUGGCUUUUAUAGUGCUAAGAGGUGGAGCUUGAUUUUUAAGUGUUGACAAAAAUGUUGCACAAUAAUUCAACAUCAGUUAUUCAAUGAACAGUUGGGAAGUUUGGGCUGACCCGUCUUAUAGUCCACACCUUGCUCCUUCUGACUACCAUUUGUUCAGGUCCGGGCAGAAUUCCCUCACUAGAAUAUGGUUCAUAUCAAAAGAGAGUGUCAUUGGAUUUAUUCAUUCUAGACCGGCAAGCCGGCGCAGUUCUGGAAUCCAAAAAUUGUCAGGAAGGUGGGAUAUGUUAGAGCUUUAAAUAAUAAGGCAUGUAAAACGUGAACGAAUCUGGCCGAAUUUGGAGUUCUGAGUAUAUAAUUCAUGGAUUCAAGUCGGUUAAAAUUGGGUGAGCAAUUGCAGAGAUACGAGAUUAAACCUAAAAUGGGCAGUGUUAUCAAUUUAAAGUUUUUACUCCGACGCACACUUAACUCUUUCUCAUCAUUUUAACUGUAAAAAAACAGAAUUCAGAUAAAAUUUUGCUGGUUUUUGAACUAAGUAUCGAAGUCAUCAUAAGAUAGGUUUUAAGAUUUUGCCUUAUCUGAAAAACACUUUAUAAAUAUAAAAAAACCCAAAUUUUUGCGUUAUUCAUUAUUUAUAUUUGUAUGAUAAAUCCAAAAUCAUUAUUUCUAAAAGCAGUUGUCAAAUAUUUUAUUAUCGAUCUAUGACAAUUCCAUCUUCCUCUCCCUCAGCAUCGCUGUGCUCUUCGAAUGGAAAUAGUUGCAAAAGUCUGGUUACUGCAAUUUUCAUAUCCUCCAAGACUAACUUUAUCUGCGGAUGUUCAUUUCUGGAGUACCUCAACUCUUUUAAAAACCUAUAACAUUUUCCACCCAUUUCCACAGGAUCUGCAAUUUCAUGUAACUUCUCAAACUCUUCGAGAAGUUUUUGUAUCUCAGACUCCGUUCUUAAACGAGCCAUUAUGCUCCGUCUUCUACAAGUAUUGAGUAUAUUUCGCUUCUGCCGGAGAUUGAAUACGCUUUAAGUAAGAUACGAAAAUUGCUGGCAUUUUAUGUUCGUGCCACAGGUAGUCCGCUCGAAGUGAGGAAUAGCCAUUACGUUGCAUAGAAUGCCACUUAUUUUUAAGUAAUAUGAUGACUGAUUUUCUGAGAUCAGCAGAACUGAGUUUUUUGAGAUUUUGCCUACUUUGAAUUUAUUUUAAUCUUUUUUUGUGUAUUUACUUGUAUUUCAGCUUUUUAAGCAUUUGGGGAAAAAGUAUUAUUGUGAAUAAAAAUAAAACAAUAAUUUGUGUUGUUCCAUAUCUGGUAUAUAGUCCGAGUGUAUUUUAUUUACGAUAUCUUCACUUUGAAUACAAAUGCAACCAUAAGCCAUAUCGAACGAACACAUCUCCAUUAAUUUCAAGGAUAAGCUAUAUAAGCGCAGCGAAUACUGUGUCAAGUCAAGAACAAAUUGCAACAAAGUAAAGCAAAGUAUUUAAAAGACUAUUCUCAGAAUUGUUUAUUAAAAUUAGAGACUAAAAAUGUAAACGUAUUUAACAGAAUAUUAUCUAUCUACCUACCUUCUGUAUAUAUUACAUAGGUCGUGCUUUCCUACCUGCGCAGAAUCCUUAAUAUACGAGCAGAUGUUGCUGUAGUAGUAAAACCUUAUUUCAGCAUGAACAAAAACAAGUUAAUUCUCUCUAGUUUUGAGAAUUAAACAUGAACUUAAAAAACGUAUGCAAUUUUUAAAAUAUCCUCAACACAUGAGUGAAAUGGGCUAUAAAAUUUUGUGUAAACCGACUGAUAGCAAUGACAUUUUUGAUCAAGGGAGCUUACGUAGCGUUUUUAUAUUUAAUAAUUAAGAACUUGGUGCAGGGUUGGCGUUGAUGUUAAUAGCAGUUUAAGAAGAAGGGAGAAUUUAUAACUCCAGAAAGGCUGAACCGGUGAUUGAAAAUUGGUGGGGAAGUAGUUACGAGUCAAAGAACAUGCAAGUACGAUACUUUUUCUCUUUUCAAAUUCAAAACUAUUCAAAAAUAGAAAAAUUAUAUUUCAAAUCUUAUCUCAUGUGCUCAAAAUUCAUUUAAUAGUCAUUUUAAUAUUUUAUUACUUAAAAAAAAUAAAAUAACAACAUAUAACUACUGCAAGUAAUUUUUGUGGUUUUUUUCUUGGACGCACCAUGUGGAGUACCGAUCGGUCGAUUCCUUUUUCUUAAGUCAAUGAUACUACCGAAACAACAAUAACAAUAAAUAAUCGUUGUUAUGGUGAAGAAUUGAGACGAUUUGAUUGACCAUAAAUAUGCACAUGCAACUGCAAAUUGAAUAAUCAGCAUAAAAUAUAUUCCGAACAAUUGCUAGAAAUUGAAAAUCAUAUAAUAGAACUGCAGCCAAACACGCAAUGCAUUAAGUUGACAGACAAUUUCUGCAGUGCUGUUCAUGACAAAAAUAUAUUAAUUUCCUGUAAAUAAAAAUUAAUUACUUGAAUCAUAACAGGCUCAGUCAUCGAUGAUGUUGAGGAAAUUAAUUUCUAGAUACAACAGUGGUUUCCAGGGGAUCUGAUGUAUUAUAAAUCAAUCGCUACUAUUCUAGACGGAAAUGAAAAUUAAAAAAAAAACGUUAAAUUAAACAACUAAAUUGAAAUUAAUAACUAAAACUGUGAACCGCUCUGUAUAUUUAUGAAUUCAGGCUAUGCGAGUGAUAAACGCUACAUUUGUUUACUAACAACGGCUAACUUAUUUACUCGGUUGUCGGUUCACCAACUGACACUGACACGUGCUCGGUAAAUACACACAAAACUAGAGAAACAACAACAGCAACAGCCGGCAACGCAGCGCGUUUGGCUACUGGGCAAGUUGCGGACCAGCAGUGAGCGUGGCAUGCAACUAUUGUUCUAAGCCUGGACUAACGCUUGUUUUGGUGGCGUUGACAACUUGCUGACAAAGGACGAGUAACGGCAAAAGCGGAGCAUAAGGCAUGUUUGUUUAUGUAUGUGUGUGUGUGUGCAUGAUUCAGCACAAUUCCAGUUUUGCAUGCGUGUGUGUGUGUGUAUGUGUGCGUGAUAAGUUCACGCUGUUGGCAAUGGCUCGUUCUUUUUCAGCUCACUUUGUGACAAGUGUUAAUUGUUUGCUGAACGAAAAUUGCGUAAACGUGACCAGGAACAUGCCGUAAACAAUGCGGUCGGCGCAAGUAAACAUACGAGAAAUAGUUUUAAGCAGAAAAUUCGCGAGACAACUUUUUCGGAUCAACUCCUCAUGAGCGGUUACGAGAUCAAACGAGUCCAAAAUUAUUAAAAAUUAAUCGCCCAUAAUUAUAGUACAUUAAACUCUUUAAAUAUGUAUAUUUUUAAAAUUAUUUAUUAAAUAAAAUCACAAAAAAACUCGAAGAUAAUAAACAAAAACGCAUUUAUCAA